This 490-nucleotide ribosomal RNA is filed under the name uncultured bacterium. RNAcentral's name for it is "partial 16S ribosomal RNA". It matches the Rfam family "Bacterial small subunit ribosomal RNA", at positions 30 to 507 of the family's 1533-position model. The record is from RNAcentral.
AUUGAACGCUGGCGGCAGGCCUAACACAUGCAAGUCGAACGGUAACAGGAAACAGCUUGCUGUUUCGCUGACGAGUGGCGGACGGGUGAGUAAUGUCUGGGAAACUGCCUGAUGGAGGGGGAUAACUACUGGAAACGGUAGCUAAUACCGCAUAACGUCGCAAGACCAAAGAGGGGGACCUUCGGGCCUCUUGCCAUCGGAUGUGCCCAGAUGGGAUUAGCUAGUAGGUGGGGUAACGGCUCACCUAGGCGACGAUCCCUAGCUGGUCUGAGAGGAUGACCAGCCACACUGGAACUGAGACACGGUCCAGACUCCUACGGGAGGCAGCAGUGGGGAAUAUUGCACAAUGGGCGCAAGCCUGAUGCAGCCAUGCCGCGUGUAUGAAGAAGGCCUUCGGGUUGUAAAGUACUUUCAGCGGGGAUGACGGGAGUAAAGUUAAUACCUUUGCUCAUUGACGUUACCCGCAGAAGAAGCACCGGCUAACUCCGUG